Molecule: long non-coding RNA, 3935 nt
Filed under: Musa acuminata (dwarf banana)
Lineage: Eukaryota; Viridiplantae; Streptophyta; Magnoliopsida; Zingiberales; Musaceae
Description: long non-coding RNA (MACU_LNC005566)
Source: RNAcentral
GGCUCCGUUUCGCUAGUCACGUUUCCCGGAUGCCUUUUUCUCCUGCAUCUCUUAUUGAAACCCUCCCAAUUCUCCAUCCCGGACAAUCGAUUCGAUAGAAGCAGGAUGGGUGCGAAGAUGGGAUCGGGGAGGUCGGAAUGGCGGUCGUCAGGUCCUCGCGCGGAGCCAUCACGACAAGGCCGUAUUCAUUCGCCCUCAUCUCCACAGGCACCAGCGCCAUCUCCGGUGAUCCUCCAACUGUUUGCUUGUUCCCUUCUCUUUUGUCUGUUUCCUCCAAUUUUUAGAUCGAAGCCCGAGCUUCCAAUUCGGUUUAGAUUAGGUUCGAGUUUGGUGUUAGAUGAUAAUAAUAACAUGAAAAAGAUUCUUUCUUGAUGGGCGAGGGUUUCUGGGUGGUAGUCUUCCAGAGAAAGAUAGGACUUCGAUGAACUCAGGAAUCGUGAUCCAACUUUUGUUGCUUCGAUUUAAAUGGGUAAGAGGUGGGAAUUGAUGGAUGCAACGAGCUGGAGGAUGCUUACCCAUGGGGGAUUUGAUUUGCUAUUGGUUAAUGUCCUGGAUCUCAAUGAGCCCGAGGAAGAGACUUUUCAUACUCCAGAGCAAGUAUGUUUCUUUCCCAUCAGAAAGUGUGGUUCUUUCUCUAUUUGCUAAGUCUUCUUUUUCUUUAGCAUCAAGAACUACUUUACCUUUACAUAGGUAUAAGAAUCUUAAGGGCCUGGUUGAAAAUUGAGGGGCUCUUCAUUGGCAUAUAGGUACGAGUUGCUGUCGCUUGUUGUUCCUUCAGGUACUAUUCUAUUAUCAUUUGAUUAGAAUCAAACUCUGUGGAUCUAGUCCUUUGCAUCUGUUCUGUUAAAGCACAAAAAGAAGAUAUAGUUUAAACCAUGCUGAUUCCACCAAGACAAGUGUGGAAGCUUUUCUACAAAAGGAUUUUAACUCAUUUUAGUGGGGUGUAAAUGGUGAGUAUCACACGAACAGAGAGUAACAAUUCUGCAGUUAAUAAAUAAUAUUCCAAGCAUAGUGAAUGAUUUAAAUGUUGAGUUGCCUGUGAUAGGACUGGCUUAUUAUAUAUAGCAUUUGGACAAGUGAUUAUCCAGUGGUGUGGUCCUAUGGACCAUAUCGAAUGACAUGCUUGUCUGUAAUGAUACAGACUCCAUAUGUCAGCGAAACUGAUGGCACCUAUGUUCUAUUCUCUUGGAAAUCUGGGGCAGAAGUGGAAAGAAACUUUUCUAGGCAAGUUAUUGGAUCCAUAAAUCCUGGCAAUUUAUUGCUCAUUUGUUAUGACAUGUCAAUUCUAUUACACUCUCCUUUUGCAAAAACAAGAUGUCAAGUACAUCAUCAAUAUGGUCAGGAUAUGUUGCUAUCUGUUGAAUAAAACAGGAGCAACUAGUUUUGCUCUCCCACUGUAAAUUAGUGGUUCUUUAAAAUAGUGAGGAAACAAAGAGUUAAACAGAAAAUUAACUUGCACAUGGAUUACAAAUCUAAACUAGUUUACCAUUAACCUGAGCUAUUAACUGAAACAUAGCAAAGAGUUGACUUGCAUGGUGACUGGCAUCAAAGGCUAAUAUGUAAAUAAAAACGAUUAGCGCCAAUUUAACAAACUGAAGCUAUAUUUUAAUUGUUCAAAUCAACUUAGCUCAAACUGCCAAUAGGUUCAUCAACACGGUACAGUUGGGGGGUCAUGAAAAGGUAUAAUGAAGAAAAUCAUGGCAAUUGAAGAAUAUUGAGGAUGUACUUAAUGUGAUUUCUCAUAAUCUGAUUGAGAUAUUUAUCCUUUUCUAUCUCUACAUGUUUAUAAGGUUAGUUUAGGAUGAACCUUGCUGCCUCACAAGUCGUAAAAUGCGGAUGGACCUGGAAAUGAUUUCUUCACACGAAGCAGCGGUAGGCUGUUGCAGAAGACAGCAAGCACCCCCUGGAGAAGGAAGAGGAAUGAUUAGACAAAGAAGAUCAAAGAAGAGGAGGUUAGAAGUUGGAAGAAGCAGAGGAGAUGAAGAGGGGCACCUGAAACUUUGUGAUUCUUUUCCUCUUUAAGCAUUUUGAACCUGUCAUUUCCUUAUAUUGAUGUGGAGGCAGAUAAUCCCUCUGAGCCUUGAUGACACCUGUAUUGUCUAGUUUAUGAGACCUAGCUUAAUUAAACAACUUCCUUUGUUUCGCUUGCUUUUUUUUUUUCUCACUUUUGCAAGCAACUUCUGAUCCAAUGAUUCUUGACCAUGUUGUGGUAAUGGACAAACUUGGAAACAAAUUAUAUGUAAUUCCUAGAGCUAGUUAUGAGGAUGGAAUAAACAGAUUUUAAUGAGUCUUUAAAUUAGUUGAGCUCCCACUUUUAACUCAGUGUGUCUCCCUUUCGUUUCGUCAUAUAUGUCAAUGAUACUUUCAGAUCCUGCAUGUAUGUUAUGAUGUUAACGAACAGAUGUGCUUGUGGAAUUAAGACUCUAUGGAUUAUGAAGUAUUGGGACAUCAAUUGGUUUCAGUCUUAUUUUUUCUUGCAACUUUUUCCAGGUAAUGAGAUACACGAGGCAAAGCUUGUUAAAUGUACUCGUAGUUUGAUUAUAGUAGUUUUGAGUGCUUGUUAUAAUUGAACAAUAGGACUCUUUCAAGUGCUGGAUUGAGAUUCCAGCUCACUUGUUCUGUUACAUUACAUCUGGUUUGUUGCUCCGUAUGCAUUUGCAACCCUUUGUUCGAGGUUCAAAAACCUAGUUUUACACAUCCGGUUCACCUGCGCAUGUCAAGUUUUUCUUAAAGCAGUCCUCCACUUUAAGCUUUUCAUUUUGUGGAUUGGCAUGUCCAUCUUCAACUUCUCUAGUUCUGCACUUUACGUUAGAGAUGAUAUUUGGUAGCUUUCAAUGUUUGUACAGUGGUUUAAUGAUCAUGCAGCAUUUUGCUGGAUAUGGAUACAUUUUUCCAGCUCUCUGUUUUGUCUUUAAACAACUUGUUUAGUUCUUGCUUUUCCUCUACAUGGCUGGUUGGUGUCGGAUGGAUGAUUUUGUUGUUGAAUGUGGCUUAGUAAAGCAGUCUUUUAGUUUAGUUCCAAGAACAACACAAUACAUAGAUACUGCACAACCCAUAACCUCUUUUAGGAAACAGGAUAGAGUAGCAAAUAGUAUGGCAGUUAUCAAAACUGAAUCGAAAGUCAAGCUUCGGUUCAUCGAUGAAUCAAUCGGUCAGAUCAUCGAUGAAUUUUUUAGAUAUAUAUUAUUGUCUGUUUUGGCAUAUGUUAAGGGUGCUAAUAACUUAGUUGUUUUGUGUAAUUAGUCAGAUGAUUUUUGUUUGGAUAAUUGAUCAUUUUGAUGAGACGGAAUGAGCCAGUGGUUGAUAGCUAGGAGUAGUACUACAACCAGUUGAAUUGGAAUCACAAUUAAAACUGCAACAAAGCGGAUUGUACCUCCUCCUAUUGUCUGUAAUUAAUUAUUACCAAUGUUAGCAGUGAUUGUAAAAUGGUGCAGCAUCUACUUCCAUUUCCAAGCUUGAGAGAGCAUCUCAUGAUUCAAUCUAGUAUUUACACUGUUUUAAGUGGUCCAUUCCCUAUUGCAGUCGCAGUAUCCUGAUUCCCUGUUUCCAGCUCUAGAUAUAUUACUACUUCAAUAAUGCCCUUCGAUGAACGCAUCAUUUGUUUCUGUCUUCUCUCUUUCUUCUUCUUUGUUCCAUGUCUUGUGCAGACAAGCUCUUUCAUCAUUAUAUUUUUUUCUGUGCUUACUUUAGGAAUUUGAAAUAUUAGCUAUUGCGCAAAGCCUUGUGAUAUGAACAGAGCUGCUAAUUAGUCUUACAACUACUUGGAAACCAAGAAGAAAAUACAGUGAAAGGAUCAGAAAAAGAUGGUGUUUUUUUUCUUCUUCUUUUUGGCUGCUUCGCUGACUUACGUUGGCUGAUGACCGACAGCGAGUCUCCUUCAUGAAAGCCCACCGAAUCUACUCUUCUCCAGUAGCAGACCCAACUCCAUCGCGUUC